This 450-nucleotide ribosomal RNA is filed under the name uncultured bacterium. RNAcentral's name for it is "partial 16S ribosomal RNA". It matches the Rfam family "Bacterial small subunit ribosomal RNA", at positions 338 to 795 of the family's 1533-position model. The record is from RNAcentral.
CCUACGGGUGGCUGCAGUAAGGAAUAUUGGUCAAUGGAGGGAACUCUGAACCAGCCAUCCCGCGUGCAGGAUGAAGGGGCUCUGCCCUGUAAACUGCUUUUGAAUGGGACGAAAAAGCCUCACUUGUGAGGAACUGACGGUACCAUUAGAUUAAGCACCGGCUAACUCCGUGCCAGCAGCCGCGGUAAUACGGAGGGUGCCGGCGUUAUCCGGGUGAAAGGGGGUGUAGGCGUGUGUAUAAGUCAGUGGAGAAAGGCCGUAGCUUAACUAUGGGAUUGCCAUUGAUACUGUAUGACUUGAAUGAGGUUGAGGUUGGCGGAAUGUGGCAUGUAGCGGUGAAAUGCUUAGAUAUGCCAUGGAACAUCGAUUGCGAAGGCAGCUGACUGGACCUGAAUUGACGCUGAGGCACGAAAGCGUGGGGAGCGAACAGGAUUAGAUACCCUGGUAGUC